UACGUAUGGAGCAAGCGUUAUCCGGAUUUACUGGGUGUAAAGGGAGCGUAGGCGGUGCUAUAAGUCUGAUGUGAAAGCCCGGGGCUCAACCGCGGGACUGCAUUGGAAACUGUAGGACUGGAGUGUCGGAGGGGUAAGUGGAAUUCCUAGUGUAGCGGUGAAAUGCGUAGAGAUUAGGAAGAACACCGGUGGCGAAGGCGGCUUUCUGGACGACAACUGACGCUGAGGCGCGAAAGCGUGGGGAGCAAACAGG
This 253-nucleotide ribosomal RNA is filed under the name uncultured bacterium. RNAcentral describes it as "partial 16S ribosomal RNA". It matches the Rfam family "Bacterial small subunit ribosomal RNA", at positions 524 to 776 of the family's 1533-position model. The record is from RNAcentral.